Molecule: ribosomal RNA, 484 nt
Filed under: uncultured bacterium
Lineage: Bacteria
Description: partial 16S ribosomal RNA
Rfam family: Bacterial small subunit ribosomal RNA
Source: RNAcentral
GACGAACGCUGGCGGCGUGCUUAACACAUGCAAGUCGAACGAUGAAGCCGGAGCUUGCUCUGGUGAAUUAGUGGCGAACGGGUGAGUAACACGUGAGUAACCUGCCCUUGACUCUGGGAUAACUGCUAGAAAUGGUAGCUAAUGCCGGAUACGACCCUCGGAGGCAUCUCCAGGGGGUGGAAAGAAUUUCGGUCAAGGAUGGACUCGCGGCCUAUCAGCUAGUUGGUGAGGUAACGGCUCACCAAGGCGACGACGGGUAGCCGGCCUGAGAGGGUGACCGGCCACACUGGGACUGAGACACGGCCCAGACUCCUACGGGAGGCAGCAGUGGGGAAUAUUGCACGAUGGGCGCAAGCCUGAUGCAGCAACGCCGCGUGAGGGAUGACGGCCUUCGGGUUGUAAACCUCUUUUAGUAGGGAAGAAGCGAAAGUGACGGUACCUGCAGAAAAAGCACCGGCUAACUACGUGCCAGCCGCCGCAGUAA